AAACGUUUUAAAACGUACAGCAGAUUAUACCGGUGAGAUUCCAUUUGUUUUUGCUCAGUACUACGUAAAAUAGAAUAUUCUAUUAGUGACGAGUGUUUAAUGGGUUUCUGAAAGCACAGUACGCAGGAUAGUGGAGCAAUGGAGUAAAAAUGAAGGAGAAUAUCUACAAAAAAUAAAUAAAAAUAUGUAGUUUUCAAA
Colias croceus (clouded yellow) is the source of this 198-nucleotide long non-coding RNA. RefSeq lists it as uncharacterized. The transcript is spliced from 2 exons. The record is from RefSeq and is a predicted model, not a curated record. Lineage: Eukaryota; Metazoa; Arthropoda; Insecta; Lepidoptera; Pieridae.